Molecule: ribosomal RNA, 406 nt
Filed under: uncultured bacterium
Lineage: Bacteria
Description: partial 16S ribosomal RNA
Rfam family: Bacterial small subunit ribosomal RNA
Source: RNAcentral
AUUGAUCGCUGGCGGCAGGCCUAACACAUGCAAGUCCAACGAGUGGCGGACGGGUGAGUAAUGUCUGGGAACCUGGCUGAUGGAGGGGGAUAACUACUGGAAACGGUAUCUAAUACCGCCUACCAUAAGAUGAUCCCAGAUGGGAUUAGCUUGUUGGGGGUGUAACGGCUCACAAAGGCGACGAUCCCUAGCUGGUCUGAGAGGAUGACCAGCCACACUGGCGCGGAGACAAGGUCCAGACUCCAACGGUGGGCAGCAGUGGGGAGUAGUGCGCAAUGGGCGAAAGCCUGAGGCAGCCAUGCCGAGUGUAUUAAGAAGGCCUUCGGGUUGUAAAGUACUUUCAGCGGAGGGGCGUUGCCCGCAGAAGAAGGACCGGCGAACUCCGUGCCAGCAGCCGCGGUAAUAC